This 443-nucleotide ribosomal RNA is filed under the name uncultured bacterium. RNAcentral's name for it is "partial 16S ribosomal RNA". It matches the Rfam family "Bacterial small subunit ribosomal RNA", at positions 338 to 795 of the family's 1533-position model. The record is from RNAcentral.
CCUACGGGUGGCAGCAGUGGGGAAUAUUGGGCAAUGGGCGCAAGCCUGACCCAGCAACGCCGCGUGAAGGAAGAAGGCCCUCGGGUUGUAAACUUCUUUUAUUCGGGACGAAACAAAUGACGGUACCGAAUGAAUAAGCCACGGCUAACUACGUGCCAGCAGCCGCGGCAAUACGUAGGUGGCCAGCGUUAUCCGGAUUUACUCGGUGUAAAGGGCGUGUAGGCUGGAGAGCAAGUCAGCCGUGAAAUUGCAGGGGUCAACCCUGGUACUGGGUUUGAAACUGUUCUUCGUGAGUGAUUGAGAGGCAGGCGGAAUGCCGGGUGUAGCGGUGAAAUGCGUAGAUAUACGGAGGAACGCCAGUGGCGAAGGCGGCCUGCUGGACAUUAACUGACGCUGAGGCGCGAAAGCGUGGGGAGCAAACAGGAUUAGAUACCCGAGUAGUC